UAUAAAAUAGUGACAGUUUCAGAUUUAUCAUUAGCUCAAUGUGGUAAUGCUACAUCCCAUUUGAGGAUUAGUUAAGAAUAAGUGCUUAGCGUAUGAUAGAAAAGUGCAUCUCAUGUUGAUC
Long non-coding RNA from Sander lucioperca (pikeperch), 121 nucleotides. RefSeq lists it as uncharacterized. NCBI's taxonomy places the organism in Eukaryota, Metazoa, Chordata, Actinopteri, Perciformes, Percidae. The record is from RefSeq and is a predicted model, not a curated record. The transcript is spliced from 3 exons.